AGGCCACCGCGCAGCUGUCGGAAGAGGCCGUGGUGGGCGGGGCAAAGCGGGAGCGGAAGUGGCCGGGAAAGGAAGCCUCUUUCGCGAGAGGAGGCGCUUCCUGUCCUAUAUCCCCAGUGUCUCCGGGUGUGAGGAAGAGUGCGGUUCGAUUCUUUCUUAACUGCCAGUGCACAAUUCUACGGAAGCAUGGGAGGUGUAGUUUUUAAGGAGGUUUUUAGCCUUCCGUGCCGAAGAGUGUUGGUACCAAACUACAACUCUCAGGAUUCAACGGGAUUGAGCUAGUCCAAGUGGUCCUCUGAUCGCCCGAUUUCACGGGAGAGAGAAAAAUGGGAAGACUGGAGAUACAGCGUGGGGAGAGCAAAGGAAGAUUUAAAUGGCUAUAACCCAAAGCUUUCUGUCGCAUCCUGAAUACAGGAGAAUAUUUAGAUUAAGCUUAGAGUAGUCUAUAUGUUUUGCUUGCAAUAUCAAAACUUAUCUUUGAGGAAAAAAGGGGAAAAAAAUGGGGAAUACUCUUCCUCCUGCCAUGAGUUCAACAGUAUUUAAGAAAUGUUGGGAGUGCUUUUGAUUUCAUCAUCAGAUGCCCUGUAAGUGUAUUCCUAUUACCACUGGUUGAAGAUCAUAUUAUGAAGUUCUUGUAUUAUUAUGCCCUCAUUGGAUAUACAUUUACUUAGAAAUAAAAUCAACUGAAAUACU
Anolis carolinensis (green anole) is the source of this 693-nucleotide long non-coding RNA. RefSeq lists it as uncharacterized. The transcript has 2 exons. The record is from RefSeq and is a predicted model, not a curated record. NCBI's taxonomy places the organism in Eukaryota, Metazoa, Chordata, Lepidosauria, Squamata, Anolidae.